RNAcentral lists this ribosomal RNA (497 nucleotides) under uncultured bacterium. RNAcentral's name for it is "partial 16S ribosomal RNA". It matches the Rfam family "Bacterial small subunit ribosomal RNA", at positions 29 to 507 of the family's 1533-position model. The record is from RNAcentral.
ACGAACGCUGGCGGCGUGCCUAAUACAUGCAAGUCGAGCGGACGAUUCGAAAGCUUGCUUUUGAAUCGUUAGCGGCGGACGGGUGAGUAACACGUGGGCAACCUGCCCUGUAGACGGGGAUAACACCGAGAAAUCGGUGCUAAUACCGGAUAACACGAAAUGUCGCAUGACGUUUCGUUGAAAGGCGGCGCAAGCUGCCGCUACAGGAUGGGCCCGCGGCGCAUUAGCUAGUUGGUGAGGUAACGGCUCACCAAGGCGACGAUGCGUAGCCGACCUGAGAGGGUGAUCGGCCACACUGGGACUGAGACACGGCCCAGACUCCUACGGGAGGCAGCAGUAGGGAAUCUUCCGCAAUGGACGAAAGUCUGACGGAGCAACGCCGCGUGAGCGAAGAAGGCCUUCGGGUCGUAAAGCUCUGUUGUUAGGGAAGAACAAGUAACGUAGUAACUGACGUUACUAUGACGGUACCUAACGAGAAAGCCACGGCUAACUACGUG